Chinchilla lanigera (long-tailed chinchilla) is the source of this 662-nucleotide long non-coding RNA. RefSeq lists it as uncharacterized. The transcript is spliced from 3 exons. Lineage: Eukaryota; Metazoa; Chordata; Mammalia; Rodentia; Chinchillidae. The record is from RefSeq and is a predicted model, not a curated record.
CCGCCCGCGCGGCGUCGCAGGGCCCCGGGAACGCCUGGCUUCGGAGGGUCGCGGGGGCCGGGGCCGAGCUCGGCGAGGCUGGCGCCGAGGCUCCCCGGGACCCGAGCCGCAAAGCGGGGAGAAAGUUUUGUUCGCAGCACGGCAUAGUCGUGGGCCGCUGGGGCUUGCGUCUUCUGACACCCUCCGAGGCCGCACCCUCCAGCUUCGACUUCUCGUGUUAAUACUUUGAAAGCUGCAAAAUAAUAAAAACUGCAGAGAAGUUCCCAAGGAAUAGGCGCUGGGCCCCUGGUCUGGAGUGAAAACGUGAGUUUCAACUCCCCAACUCUACACAGGAUCUCUGAGAAAAAGCAUUUUUACUAUUUAGCAAGGUGGUUCUUGUGAAUAUGGAAGACCUCGCUUAAAAAAGAAAAUGUUUUAAACACACGAAGAAUUAGCUUCCCGCCAAAGGAAAACGACUGUCAAGGAAAAGUCGUUGUAGCACUGUUUGAGCAACUCAAGUUCUGGUGACCAUGAAGGGGCCUCAUGGAUGUUGCUGGUGGAUCCUGAGACCCCCUGAAGAAGGCAGAGGAGCCACAGAUCGCUUUUGAGGUCUCUUCUCUUCCUCAUGGAUCCCCAAAUAUUGGUCUCACUAUGUAGUUCAGGCUGGCCUGGACUCACCAUCU